This 490-nucleotide ribosomal RNA is filed under the name uncultured bacterium. Its description in RNAcentral is "SSU rRNA". It matches the Rfam family "Bacterial small subunit ribosomal RNA", at positions 26 to 521 of the family's 1533-position model. The record is from RNAcentral.
AGGAUGAACGCUGGCGGUGUGCCUAAUACAUGCAAGUCGAACGGACCUUUAUUUUUGAGAAUCUCCUCCCUCGGGGCGUCUCAUAAAUAAUGGUUAGUGGCGGACGGGUGAGUAACACGUUGGUACCUGCCCCGAAGUGGGGAAUAACUGCCCGAAAGGGUAGCUAAUACCGCAUAUUGCCGAAAGGUGAAAGCAGUAAUGCGCUUCGGGAGGGGCCUGCGUCCCAUUAGCUUGUUGGCGGGGUAAUAGCCCACCAAGGCUGCGAUGGGUAGCUGGAUCGAGAGGUUGACCAGCCACACUGGGACUGAGAUACGGCCCAGACUCCUACGGGAGGCAGCAGUAAGGAAUCUUCCACAAUGGACGAAAGUCUGAUGGAGCAACACCGCGUGCAGGAUGAAGGCUUUCGGGUCGUAAACUGCUUUUAUAGAUUGAAGAUUAUGACGGUAAUCUAUGAAUAAGGACCGGCUAACUACGUGCCAGCAGCCGCGGU